Molecule: ribosomal RNA, 464 nt
Filed under: Vreelandella stevensii
Lineage: Bacteria; Pseudomonadati; Pseudomonadota; Gammaproteobacteria; Oceanospirillales; Halomonadaceae
Description: partial 16S ribosomal RNA
Rfam family: Bacterial small subunit ribosomal RNA
Source: RNAcentral
CCACGGGAGGCUGCAGUGGGGAAUAUUGGACAAUGGGCGAAAGCCUGAUCCAGCCAUGCCGCGUGUGUGAAGAAGGCCUUCGGGUUGUAAAGCACUUUCAGUGGGGAAGAAAGCCUUGGGGCUAAUACCCUCGAGGAAGGACAUCACCCACAGAAGAAGCACCGGCUAACUCCGUGCCAGCAGCCGCGGUAAUACGGAGGGUGCGAGCGUUAAUCGGAAUUACUGGGCGUAAAGCGCGCGUAGGCGGUCUGAUAAGCCGGUUGUGAAAGCCCCGGGCUCAACCUGGGAACGGCAUCCGGAACUGUCAGGCUAGAGUGCAGGAGAGGAAGGUAGAAUUCCCGGUGUAGCGGUGAAAUGCGUAGAGAUCGGGAGGAAUACCAGUGGCGAAGGCGGCCUUCUGGACUGACACUGACGCUGAGGUGCGAAAGCGUGGGUAGCAAACAGGAUUAGAUACCCUUGUAGUC